This 514-nucleotide ribosomal RNA is filed under the name uncultured bacterium. RNAcentral's name for it is "partial 16S ribosomal RNA". It matches the Rfam family "Bacterial small subunit ribosomal RNA", at positions 28 to 523 of the family's 1533-position model. The record is from RNAcentral.
GAUGAACGCUGGCGGCGUGCCUAAUACAUGCAAGUCGAGCGAACAGAUGAGAAGCUUGCUUCUCUGAUGUUAGCGGCGGACGGGUGAGUAACACGUGGGUAACCUACCUAUAAGACUGGGAUAACUCCGGGAAACCGGGGCUAAUACCGGAUAAUAUUUUGAACCGCAUGGUUCAAUAGUGAAAGACGGUUUCGGCUGUCACUUAUAGAUGGACCCGCGCCGUAUUAGCUAGUUGGUAAGGUAACGGCUUACCAAGGCGACGAUACGUAGCCGACCUGCGAGGGUGAUCGGCCACACUGGAACUGAGACACGGGCCAGACUCCUACGGGAGGCAGGAGUAGGGAAUCUUCCGCAAUGGGCGAAAGCCUGACGGAGCAACGCCGCGUGAGUGAUGAAGGUCUUCGGAUCGUAAAACUCUGUUGUUAGGGAAGAACAAAUUUGUUAGUAACUGAACAAGUCUUGACGGUACCUAACCAGAAAGCCACGGCUAACUACGUGCCAGCCGCCGCAGUAA